RNAcentral lists this transfer RNA (69 nucleotides) under Marmota monax (woodchuck). RNAcentral describes it as "tRNA.Val". Lineage: Eukaryota; Metazoa; Chordata; Mammalia; Rodentia; Sciuridae. The record is from RNAcentral.
GGAAAAUAGUUCAGUUGGUAGACUGCUUGCCUCACAUGGGCAAGUCCCUGGGUUCAAUCCCCAGUACCA